RNAcentral lists this long non-coding RNA (399 nucleotides) under Phaseolus vulgaris (common bean). RNAcentral's name for it is "long non-coding RNA (PVUL_LNC004720)". Lineage: Eukaryota; Viridiplantae; Streptophyta; Magnoliopsida; Fabales; Fabaceae. The record is from RNAcentral.
CGGGCUUUUUCGAGGUCCAGGAUCUGGAGGCCGGAGAAGUCGUUGGCGCCGGCAGCAACCAGCGUCGGCGAGAGCGCGAGGAGGGAGUCCACCGCGGUGAAGUGGGUGAGGACGGUGGCCUUGCGGCGGAGGGACCAGUCGAAGGAGGUGAUCUUGCUGCCGUGCGCGACGUGGAGGGCGCCGCAGGCGCCGUCGGCGGCGAGGGCGGAGGGGGAGUCGCGGCCGUUGAGUGGCAAAAGGAGAGAUUUUUGGAGGUUGAAAGGUUCCAGCUGAGAAGGGUUGGAGAGGGAAUUGACGAGGAGGGUUUCGAUGCCGUAGAAUUUGGACUCGAUAAUUAGGUCUUGGAUAUCGAAAGCUUUGGCCUUUGAGGGAAGGUUUCCGGUGCGGAGGAGAGAGAGG